RNAcentral lists this long non-coding RNA (2262 nucleotides) under Triticum aestivum (bread wheat). RNAcentral's name for it is "long non-coding RNA (TAES_LNC023124)". Lineage: Eukaryota; Viridiplantae; Streptophyta; Magnoliopsida; Poales; Poaceae. The record is from RNAcentral.
AAUACACUGUAAUUCCACUAAAAGUACACUGUAAUUCCACUAAAAACACACAAAAGAAUUGCAUUACAAUUCCACUGAGAAAGUACCAAAUUUAUCCCUGGAGAAGCGCCACCAGAGAGAGCAAUUCAUCCAUGAUCUAGAACACAAACAUGGCUGGAGAAGCAAAAAAAAACACACGGGUAAACACCACCCCUCCUGUGCAUUCAUCACCCCCUGUCGUCUCUCUCUUGCCGGAACAAAUCUGGAAGAAAGAACAGACCUGUAGUGGAUCAUCAACAUAGGCUAAGUUAAGCCAAAAUCUACACAGAUCGAAAAUAGGAACAAAAUCACGCAAAAGCAUGAACCAAGAGAAACCCUAGGAAGAACUAGGAUAUGGUUGCAUGAACUAGUAGUCUAUGAUCACAGGAAAACUGAAAACUAGAUGCCCAGAUCAUAUAUUUUUGAAUUUGCAGAAAUAAACACACAACAGGGACCAAAACAUGCUCAGGAAGCUAGCAAUUCCAUUUUGGGAAAACUAGUUAAAAACAUGCAAGGGGGAGGAUUGCUUCAGUUGAGAGAAAAUAUGGCUAUUUUCACAGACUUUGGAAACUGAAAGACCAAACACUGUUAAGAGAUUUUGAUCUGCUAGUUUUAGACACUUUCUACUUGUUCUUAAAAACUACUCCGUACCUGUGAUUGAAGGACUGAAUUUAAGUAACUUUGGAAAUGUAAACUGCUAUGAUCUGAUGCUUGCUUACACUGAAUAUUGAUAGGCAUUAACAUAAGCACUAAAAAUUGAAAUUAACAGAAAAAUGACAAACAAAAAUCAGGCUAAAAACAUUCACGCUAGAAGGCACUCACACUAGUAGCAACAAACAAAACUGAUAACAUAUUUACAGUUCAGAACUGAAAGGACAAAUUUGUGACUGUUAGAUAAAAUUACUGGGACCUUCUUUGCAAAAUUACUCUGCGUUUAUUUACAGUUCAGAACUGAAUACUUGUUUGCAUUAAGAGAUAAUUUACUCAAAAUAUUGAGUGCAGGUGCCUACAAUCGAACCAAAUGCAAUGAAAUGCAGCAUCAAAGGACAGGCGAUGUACCUCAAGAAAGAUGAAGUUGAUUUCCUUAACAUAUGGCUAUCUAAUAGCAGAAAACAAUGCUGAAAACAAAAAACAAUAUCAAAAACAUGCUUUCUCUAACUAGUUUCCUGACAAAUAACAAAGUGGAUCAUACUCUUUUACUGAGCUACUUCAGGCGCAAAUGAUGUACAAGGCGUAGCUGCAUUGCAAAAAUACAUAGAAAACUAAAAUAGAGAAAAUCUACCGACACUAUUCAUCGGCUAAUGAUAUAACAUUGAUUUACUUUGUGCAGCAACAAUACGUGGAGCCUGAGCCUGACAUGACAAACUACAUGGAAUGGCAUAGUACUGACCAGAACAAUGAAUUCAAAUAUGCAGAAACACCUCCUAACACCAACGGGGAAGAGAAAAACGGUAAGCAUACAAAGCAUACAAUAAAACUCGAACCUAGCAACUGUAGGUACACAAAAUAAAGCAAUUAUAUUGUGUUGCUUGCAGGCACAAAAAUGAUCUAAUUACAUUUGAAGUGGGUGCAGGGGCAUAUAAUAAAAAUCACAGUAAAAUAUAGCUGUAACAUUUAAACCUACUUCAAUUAGAAUUGUAUUACAGAAGAUUAACUAAAGAGCCUAACAAAUAAAAAACUAUCCAAAACACGCUGGAAAAAAACAAACAGAAACUAACAUUAGCAUCAAGCAAGAAAACAUACAUAACUGGUAAAAACUAAUUUACUCUAAAUUACACUACAAUACAGCUAAAAUUACACCAACGAAUGCACUGUGAAUUCAUAUACAAGCCACAGUAAAAAUAAACAUUACAAGAAACUAAGAAGUGGUGGAGAAAAUCAUGACACUACGACAUGCUCAGGACAAUAUACUAUCCGCACCAACGGGGACAACGAAAACACAAAGCAACUGAAUCUCUAGUUCCUAAAAUGACAUAUCCAAACUUGAGAAAAUCAAAGCACACAUACAGGGCAGAGCGAUCUUACAUCAAGCUACAACUGAAGGAUGCAAAAUCCAACGCCGAACUAGUGCAUGUAGCUAAAAAAGGGGAAAAGCAUGAACACUUACAUGCUAAAAAUGGGAAUUACAUACCAAAUCCACUAAGAAUUACAGUGUAAAUUCACUAAGAAUUACACUGUAAACCCCCUAGGAAUUACACUAUAGAAUCUACUAGGAAUUACACUGUAAAAUCCAGUGAGAAUUAC